GGUUGUGGCUCAGUGGUAGAGUGCUUGCCUAGCAUGCAUGAGGCACUGGGUUCAAUCCCUGGCACCA
This 67-nucleotide transfer RNA is filed under the name Marmota monax (woodchuck). RNAcentral's name for it is "tRNA.Ala". It matches the Rfam family "tRNA". Rfam says of the family: Transfer RNA (tRNA) molecules are approximately 80 nucleotides in length. Their secondary structure includes four short double-helical elements and three loops (D, anti-codon, and T loops). Lineage: Eukaryota; Metazoa; Chordata; Mammalia; Rodentia; Sciuridae. The record is from RNAcentral.